AUUGAACGCUGGCGGCAGGCCUAACACAUGCAAGUCGAACGGUAACAGAAAGCAGCUUGCUGCUUUGCUGACGAGUGGCGGACGGGUGAGUAAUGUCUGGGAAACUUCCUGAUGGAGGGGGAUAACUACUGGAAACGGUAGCUAAUACCGCAUAACGUCGCAAGACCAAAGAGGGGGACCUUCGGGCCUCUUGCCAUCGGAUGUGCCCAGAUGGGAUUAGCUAGUAGGUGGGGUAACGGCUCACCUAGGCGACGAUCCCUAGCUGGUCUGAGAGGAUGAACAGCCACACUGGAACUGAGACACGGUCCAGACUCCUACGGGAGGCAGCAGUGGGGAAUAUUGCACAAUGGGCGCAAGCCUGAUGCAGCCAUGCCGCGUGUAUGAAGAAGGCCUUCGGGUUGUAAAGUACUUUCAGCGGGGAGGAAGGGAGUAAAGUUAAUACCUUUGCUCAUUGACGUUACCCGCAGAAGAAGCACCGGCUAACUCCGUG
This 490-nucleotide ribosomal RNA is filed under the name uncultured bacterium. RNAcentral's name for it is "partial 16S ribosomal RNA". It matches the Rfam family "Bacterial small subunit ribosomal RNA", at positions 30 to 507 of the family's 1533-position model. The record is from RNAcentral.